This 467-nucleotide ribosomal RNA is filed under the name uncultured bacterium. Its description in RNAcentral is "partial 16S ribosomal RNA". It matches the Rfam family "Bacterial small subunit ribosomal RNA", at positions 28 to 507 of the family's 1533-position model. The record is from RNAcentral.
GACGAACGCUGGCGGCGUGCUUAACACAUGCAAGUCGAACGGAAAGGCCCUGCUUUUGUGGGGUGCUCGAGUGGCGAACGGGUGAGUAACACGUGAGUAACCUGCCCUUGACUUUGGGAUAACUUCAGGAAACUGGGGCUAAUACCGGAUAGGAGCUCCUGCUGCAUGGUGGGGGUUGGAAAGUUUCGGCGGUUGGGGAUGGACUCGCGGCUUAUCAGCUUGUUGGUGGGGUAGUGGCUUACCAAGGCUUUGACGGGUAGCCGGCCUGAGAGGGUGACCGGCCACAUUGGGACUGAGAUACGGCCCAGACUCCUACGGGAGGCAGCAGUGGGGAAUAUUGCACAAUGGGCGGAAGCCUGAUGCAGCAACGCCGCGUGCGGGAUGACGGCCUUCGGGUUGUAAACCGCUUUCGCCUGUGACGAAGCGUGAGUGACGGUAAUGGUAAAGAAGCACCGGCUAACUACGUG